UACGAAGGGGGCUAGCGUUGCUCGGAAUCACUGGGCGUAAAGCGCACGUAGGCGGCUUGUUAAGUCAGGGGUGAAAUCCUGGAGCUCAACUCCAGAACUGCCUUUGAUACUGAAGAUCUUGAGUUCGGGAGAGGUGAGUGGAACUGCGAGUGUAGAGGUGAAAUUCGUAGAUAUUCGCAAGAACACCAGUGGCGAAGGCGACUCACUGGACACGUAUUGACGCUGAGGUGCGAAAGCGUGGGGAGCAAACAGG
This 253-nucleotide ribosomal RNA is filed under the name uncultured bacterium. RNAcentral's name for it is "partial 16S ribosomal RNA". It matches the Rfam family "Bacterial small subunit ribosomal RNA", at positions 524 to 776 of the family's 1533-position model. The record is from RNAcentral.